This 554-nucleotide long non-coding RNA is filed under the name Equus caballus (horse). RNAcentral describes it as "lncRNA (ENSECAG00000059452.1)". Lineage: Eukaryota; Metazoa; Chordata; Mammalia; Perissodactyla; Equidae. The record is from RNAcentral.
CUCCUCGGUAUCCACCCAGAGAACUGAAAGCAGAGGCGGGAACAGGUCCUUGUGCUUCCACACUGAUAGCCACAUGCCUCACAACAGCCAAAAGGUGGGAACAACCCAAGUGUCUAUCAACAGAUGGGAAGAUGCACAAGAUGUGGUCCAUCCACAAAGUGGAAUAUUAUGCAGCCACAAAAAAGGAAGGAAAUCCUGGCAUGAACUACCACAUGGAUGAAUCAGUGAAGACAUGAUGCUGAGUGAAAUAAGCGAGCCACAAAAGGACAAAUACUAUGUGGUUCCACUCAGAUGAGGUCCCCAGAGUCAUGAAAUUCAAGAGACAGAAAGCAGGAUGAAAAAAACAGAAAAGAAAGACAAGAAGGAAGGAAGCGCCUGCCUGCCGGGAUGCUUGACGAACGUGGCUGUCCUUUCUCUGUGGCCAGCAUGCAGGACGCCACCACAGCAUGGCUGAUGAGUGAUGUGGAUCUGCGCCCAGCAUCCGAACCGGCGAACCCCGGCCGCCGAAGCAGAACACACUGAACUUAACCACUACGCCACCGGGCCAGCCCCUG